Molecule: long non-coding RNA, 1082 nt
Organism: Mesocricetus auratus (golden hamster)
Lineage: Eukaryota; Metazoa; Chordata; Mammalia; Rodentia; Cricetidae
Exons: 3
Source: RefSeq, a predicted model, not a curated record
GGUCAGCCUAGUUCAAGGCUGCCUGGGUUUGGACAAGCCGUCGGUGUCACCGGAGAGAGAGAGGUGCGAGAAGCCUCCGGUUGGAGCCUGGUUAACGGAAGGAACUUCUAGAAGCUUCUCUCAGUCCUUGCCCUAGUUCCUGAGCUCUGCUUUUGCUAUCAGAUCUGACUGUGGACCAGAUGCCUCCUCCUAAGAACUCUCACCAUUAUUGACUUAGGACAUGCACACCUUUGGGGAACCAUUGUUCAGUCUGGCAGCAGGAGGUUAUUGCCCAAGAGUGAGGGCAUCACCGGUAUGUUAACAAUGUGAAUGAAAGGUUGCUUUGGUAACACCUACUAAAUACAUCAAUUUUAUAUCAACAGUAAGUAUACUGUUACCAAAAUACAGUAGUCCAAAUGGUGAUUAUCUGGGUGUCCUCUUAAGGCUCCCAAAUAACCGCGUUAUGUCUUUGGAGUCACCCUUUCCAAUGUUAUCAGAUAAUGUGUUGGAAGGACCUCGGAGGAGGAGACGCAGCACGGUACUGGAGAUGUCUGCUGCAGAAGAAAAAUGUCGGGAGCUGGACGCUAACUCUCUUCCCUCAUCAAGGGACAGCUUAAAGGCAAAUUCUGAGGAAGGAAGCGCUAUCCACUGCGUGGUGCCCCUGGGAGCUACUGAAUUCACUGUCACCAGAGACUUGGGCACACGGAGUUCUUCUGAAAUCACAACAGCCGGAAGCCACGCCCACCUCUCCUAGCACUCACUCUGGUUCUAGCCACCGGCUUGAGGAAGCAGAGAGGAACACAGCACCCAGGGGCAGAUAAGGCCUUUGUAACUGCAGGAAUGGGCUCCCCCUGGCUGACAGAUUUAUGGAGGGUUCAUUUCCUCUAUUUGUCUCUUAACUGGCUUGUGUACUUUGGGUCUGCAAAGGCCUGCUUGCCCCGGUGAUCACGUCCAGACGGAUUUCAAAGAAAGGAAAUGGUGUCGUUGAAGUGCCAAUGAGCAGAAUUCCUGCUGAUUAAUUUUUUUCCUUAUUGUUUCCACCAAAGGCAGUAGGUACCUAUUUCUUUCAGGGUAAUAAAUUUCAUCUUGUCAUUUCAAGAUUA